GCCAGCAGCCAUAUCACUCACAACUGGCAACCCACUGAAGCUAAGCAGGUGUGAGCCUGGUCAGUACCUGGAUGGGAGACCUCCUGGGAAAAACGAAGGUUGCUGCUGGAA
RNAcentral lists this ribosomal RNA (111 nucleotides) under Lepisosteus oculatus (spotted gar). Lineage: Eukaryota; Metazoa; Chordata; Actinopteri; Semionotiformes; Lepisosteidae. The record is from RNAcentral.